Molecule: long non-coding RNA, 209 nt
Filed under: Lathyrus oleraceus (garden pea)
Lineage: Eukaryota; Viridiplantae; Streptophyta; Magnoliopsida; Fabales; Fabaceae
Description: Pisum sativum (pea) long non-coding RNA (PSAT_LNC014506)
Source: RNAcentral
AUCCCGACGAACCAAAAAAAAAAAAGAAAAGGUUCGGGCAAAAGUUAGGGAUAAAAUAGAAAAAAAUUGUACACCCGGUAAGUCGAAAACCCGCAAGGGCGGCUUAGGCAAAAAUGGGUAUCCCGGUGGAUUAAAAACCCGAAAGGGCGAUCCAGGCAAAAAUUAGGGAUUAGAGCGAAGACUACAGUCUGAGUUAUCUGUACUUCAUC